Molecule: ribosomal RNA, 253 nt
Filed under: uncultured bacterium
Lineage: Bacteria
Description: partial 16S ribosomal RNA
Rfam family: Bacterial small subunit ribosomal RNA
Source: RNAcentral
UACGAAGGGGACUAGCGUUGUUCGGAAUCACUGGGCGUAAAGCGCACGUAGGCGGAUAUGUCAGUCAGGGGUGAAAUCCCGGGGCUCAACCUCGGAACUGCCUUUGAUACAGCAUAUCUUGAGUCCGAUAGAGGUGGGUGGAAUUCCUAGUGUAGAGGUGAAAUUCGUAGAUAUUCGCAAGAACACCAGUGGCGAAGGCGGCUCACUGGCCCGAUACUGACGCUGAGGCACGAAAGCGUGGGGAGCAAACAGG